Molecule: ribosomal RNA, 346 nt
Filed under: uncultured bacterium
Lineage: Bacteria
Description: partial 16S ribosomal RNA
Rfam family: Bacterial small subunit ribosomal RNA
Source: RNAcentral
CCUACGGGUGGCUGCAGUGAGGAAUAUUGGUCAAUGGGCGCGAGCCUGAACCAGCCAAGUCGCGUGAGGGAAGAAGGUCCUAUGGAUUGUAAACCUCUUUUGUCGGGGAGCAAAAGACGGCACGCGUGGCGUGCCGAGAGUACCCGAAGAAAAAGCAUCGGCUAACUCCGUGCCAGCAGCCGCGGUAAUACGGAGGAUGCGAGCGUUAUCCGGAUGUAUUGGGUUGAAAGGGUGCGCAGGCGGAAGAUCAAGUCAGCGGUAAAAGUGAGAGGCUCAACCUCUUCGAGCCGUUGAAACUGGGUUUCUUGAGUGCGUGAGAGGUCUGCGGAAUGCGUGGUGUAGCGGU